Small nucleolar RNA from Loxodonta africana (African savanna elephant), 105 nucleotides. Ensembl annotates it as small nucleolar RNA SNORD67. Lineage: Eukaryota; Metazoa; Chordata; Mammalia; Proboscidea; Elephantidae. The record is from Ensembl.
UGUGAAGUUAUGGGUUACACACUGAUGGAAUCACAGCGUUAGGAGAUGCAGGCAAUAUUCAGUACCACUCUGGCGAAAAAAAUGCACAGGGACCACUCAAGUGCA